This 253-nucleotide ribosomal RNA is filed under the name uncultured bacterium. Its description in RNAcentral is "partial 16S ribosomal RNA". It matches the Rfam family "Bacterial small subunit ribosomal RNA", at positions 524 to 776 of the family's 1533-position model. The record is from RNAcentral.
UACGAAGGGGGCUAGCGUUGCUCGGAAUCACUGGGCGUAAAGCGCACGUAGGCGGAUUGCUAAGUCAGGGGUGAAAUCCUGGAGCUCAACUCCAGAACUGCCUUUGAUACUGGCAACCUUGAGUCCGGGAGAGGUGAGUGGAACUGCGAGUGUAGAGGUGAAAUUCGUAGAUAUUAGGAAGAACACCAGUGGCGAAGGCGGCUCACUGGCCCGGUACUGACGCUGAGGCGCGAAAGCGUGGGGAGCAAACAGG